This 386-nucleotide ribosomal RNA is filed under the name uncultured bacterium. RNAcentral describes it as "bacterial SSU rRNA". It matches the Rfam family "Bacterial small subunit ribosomal RNA", at positions 29 to 416 of the family's 1533-position model. The record is from RNAcentral.
AUUGAACGCUGGCGGCGUGCUUAACACAUGCAAGUCGUGCGGUAACAGGCGUAGCAAUACGUGCUGACGAGCGGCGAACGGGUGCGUAAUACAUGGGAAUCUGCCCUUUAGUGGGGAAUAACCCGGCGAAAGCCGGGCUAAUGCCGCAUAAGAUCUUCGGAUGAAAGCGGGGGAUCGUAAGACCUCGCGCUGAUGGAUGAGCCCAUGUCGGAUUAGCUAGUUGGGAGGUAACGGCUCACCAAGGCGACGAUCCGUAGCUGGUCUGAGAGGACGGCCAGCCACACUGGGACUGAGACACGGCCCAGACUCCUACGGGAGGCAGCAGUGGGGAAUAUUCCACAAUGGGGAAACCCUGAUGGAGCGACGCCGCGUGCGCGAAGAAGCCC